Malania oleifera is the source of this 274-nucleotide long non-coding RNA. RefSeq lists it as uncharacterized. The record is from RefSeq and is a predicted model, not a curated record. The transcript is spliced from 4 exons. NCBI's taxonomy places the organism in Eukaryota, Viridiplantae, Streptophyta, Magnoliopsida, Santalales, Ximeniaceae.
AUUGGAUUCCUAACUCCACCACCAACAUUUCUACUGGAGCGGAUUUGUUGUGGGAGCGGUGUACCCACCAUUCUUAGGGUAAGGGUCUAGGUGAGCGCCGCAGGCACUAGUUUGGGAUUCCUGUUGGCGUAGUUCAAGAAACCAUGGAAUCCAAGUAGAGGAGCGGAUAGAGCUCCGCGGCGUUAGUGGUCGCCCGAUCUACCUCCAAAAGGGAUCCGGGUGAGUGCCGCAGACAUCAGUUUGGGAUUCCUGUUGGCGUAAUUUAAGAAAUCAG